UCAAUAAACUAAGUCAUUAAAAUAAGUAACUUUUGAUUAGAGAGAAUGGAUGAUAUAAGAUUGGAAUCACACCAAGUCUUAUAAUUCACAAGGUUGUCAAAGACAACAAGCUUUGUUGGCGGAAGGUGGAAUAGAUGGUAGAGAUGGCGCGAUGAUAGGAUGAUUGACUCACUCAAUCUGUUGAUGAUAGACUCUCUCUAUCAAGUGAUCGAACAAACUACUUGAAUCACAAAAAUAGUUUAAUCCAAGAAUUCUAAUGAACAAUGUGAAUCACACACAAUAUUCAAAAGAAACAACUCUUGCAAAAAACUCUCUUUGAAGAAAAACGAAAAUGCUUUAUUACUUUAAGAUUGAAUGGUGAUUUGUACAAAUGAUAUAAUGAGCUUUAUAUAGUGCUCUUACAAGGUUCUAAAGUCUAAAAAGAAGAAAAGAAAUCUUAGCAAUAAGAGAAUAUAGCCGUUGGAGCUAUUAUGGCGAGAAUCGGCCAAAAUAGAGGAAGUGAUGUAUCCUUUGUAUCUGGACGGUUUGAGGGGAUAGAUGAGCUUCUCUGGCACAUUAGUUUCUUCAUAAAACACGUCCAAGUCGUAGCAUUCAAGAGAAAAGAGCCGUUGGUGAGAUAUUCCUCCAAGUGUGAAUGCUUCCGGAAAAAGAAAGUGUACAAAUAUGAGGAUCCGCCUGAUCCUGUGGUUUCUGGAGCAUGGUAAGACAUUUGUAGACUCCUCUACAUGUAUAAGAAACUCUCCUGGUCGCCAAAAUCCGGUUUGUAAGAGAUUGAACCGGUCAGUCUUCAUACUUUCCUUAAACGGCUCCGGUUGGCUUAAUUGAGAACUCAAUUGGAUCCGCCUGAUCCAAUGCAUGUUGGUGCACCUUAGGAUGUUGUAGAAAGCUUCUAGAGGUAACUCAGAGUCUCCUGGGCGCCACUGAUAUGUUUGAAGCCUCCAAAACCCGAAAGGUUCCAAAUAAAGCAAGCCAGAAAUCUUCUGGUUUAGAAAUUGAAUAACUUUCCAACCAAAACCGGUCUCGGUAUGAUUACAGUUCUCCUGGAUUCUCUGAUGAAUGAAUAAUCCAAAACAAGCCGGUUCAUAGCUUGAUUCGUCCUUGUUUGGUCGGAAUCCUUUGAUCAAGGCGCAAAUGUCCAAAUCGGGUUUGUUGGAGAUAACCCGGUUUGUAAGCUGAAUAAUUCUUAUGUCUGAACUCCAAUUGGACUGAUUCCAAUUCCCGCGUGCCUAUGCUGGAUCCAGAUUGCAUAGAAAGUGGUUUCAUGUAUUAAAUCUUUCUGGUCUGGUUGGAGGGAUUCAAUAAGUGGUCGUAUGUCUCCAUCGGAUCCUUUGAAGAUCUGCCUGAGUGUAUCUUCAAUAUCUUCUUCAUGUGGAAAGCUUUUGGGAUGAUUCUUCUUCGUGGUAUGCUCUAGACGUGAUGAGUAAAUAUCCCAAAUGUUUGUUGAGCUGGAACGGUCAGUAUUGGUCUUCAUUUGUGCUGAACAAAGCUUACAUGUCUCCUUAGCUCGUCUUGGCUCCAUGUUCUCAUCUCCUUGUUCCUUGAUUCCUUGCUUCAGGUCUGAUGAUGACUUGAUGUCCUCAUCAUAUCCUCCCUCUUCAAGAAGUUUUGUCCUCAAAACUUGUUUACCUGCACAUAGAUAAGUCAAGUUAGUACCUUGAAUUGUUUGAGGGUUCAGAGAAAUACCUUCACUCAUUGUGUGAGUGUAGCUUGGGCAUGGUCGGUGUUGGGCAUCUGGUGGUUCUUCUUUGAUCAGAAAAGAAGCAAUGACACCUCUCCAAGUUUUGUUGCCGACUUCUUUGGGCAGCAAGUCGUUCACUUUGGUGAAAUCCCCUUUUUCACACGUCAUGUGUCCAUUGAACCUUUGCAAAUUAGAGUUUUGUUGAUUCUUUCCUGUACCUGCAAUUUCCUUGACACUUUUGACAAAGAACAAGUGUGUUAUAACAGUCAUGGUAUUACUAGAAACAUAGAAACGUCAUUCAGGUUGGAUCAUUUCAUUUACUUUAUGUGAAACCACAAGUUGCUCAUAGUUUUGUGGUUCAAUAUAAGAAACGGUUUCUUUAAUAUUCUCACAGUUUUCUGGAUUUAGCAGAUUCUUUAGCACAGACUUCAAAUCAUCAGAAAUAAAUGAGAGAAACGUGCUACUUACCUGAUCAGAAGUCUCGGUAUGUUCUAUUUCCGUAGAUGCAAUGGCAUUUGAUUUCAUCAGGUGAUCUGGUGGCUCUGGUUGGAUCAGAGUGAAGUUGGUAACAUCUUUCUCAGGGGCACACUGGCACAUAUUUAUCUCUUCAUAGUGCUGCUCUCCAUCAUUUAAACCUGCAUCCAAAACCUUUGGCAAAGACAAGCACAUCAUAUCUGAUUUGGAAAUUUCACAAUGUAACUCAUCUCUUUCUACUUUUCUAACUUCUUCUUUUACUGGUUCAACUGAUGUAGUAAUCUCUGAUUUUCUGAUUGGACAAGUCUUAGCAAAAUGACCUCUUUGAUGACAUCUAUAACAGAUUGUGGUAUCUAUCUUAAGAGUUUUAGACGACUUACAUUGCUUUGCUUUGCCUUGUGGCUCAAGUGUCGGUUUUGUGCUUCUCUUGUGAACUGUGAUUGGUGGCGUUGGAUUUGGUUUAACUUCUGUGGUUGCCACUGGUUUCUCAGCUUUUGACCUCUUUUCCAAAGUGCUUUGAGACACUUUCUUUGGCUCAGAACAGCAAGCUUUCUUUGACUUAGAAACAGGCUGCGGUUUUGGUGUUGACAUGCAUUUCCUUGUAGCUGUCUGGAACAUUAGCCUCUUGGGAAUGUAGCUGCGGUUGUGGGACUUCUGUACAAACUCUCUGUACAUACGCUGCUUGAGAUUACCCCAAGUGAUGGUAGAAUUAUUAUAAUUGGCCACAACUUCUUCUUGUACCCACCAUUUAGUAGCUUCUCCAACAAGUGAGUCAAGUGCAUAUGAAAGUCUCUGGUCCUUGGGGAUGUUUUGUGCCCUCAUCAUGUACUCCAUUUCGCUCUCCCACUGUAGGUAAGCUUCUGGUCCUUGUUCAUGACCUGAAAAAUAGAUGUGGCGUGGCUCACAAUCUGCCUCAUCAUCUGUUGCUGUAUCGUAUGGGUCGUCUAGAGGUGUGUUGUUGACACUGGCUUCAUUUGGAUAUUUAUCCUCCUCUUCAAACUUUGUUUCUCCAACCAAAGUAUCUUCUGGAUCUGCCUCAUGGCUCCAUUGGUCGUCAUCAACAUGGUCACCAUCUCCUGAACUGAUUUCAGAAUCAGUUUCUUCUCUCCAAGUAUCUUCUUCAUGAUCUUCUCCUAGAUCGCUUUCAGUCUCUUCACACCAAGGCUUUUGGUAUAGUUCGUCUUUCGGAUGUUGUUCUCCUCCAUGGGUGAGGAGGUCUCCACGUCCUGGUUCACCUUCAUGGUCCUCUAAACUUAUUUGAGUCUCAGUCUCGUCUCGCCAUGUACUAUCUUCUCCAAAAUCACCUUCUUGGUCGGUUUCUUCUUCUCUAGACCAAUUCAAUUGAUUGGCGUUGUUUCUUAUGUAAUCUGGUGGUUCAGGAUCAACUCCUUCACCAUCUCUUUCGUCUCCAUAGCUUGAAUAAUCAUCUCCUGGCCAUGGUGGGGAUUCAUAAUCAGCUUCUUCAUCGGACCACCAUCCUUGGAUUGAAUCAUCAUAUUUGUCUUCAUUGAAUCCUAUGGACUCAUCUUCUUCACUAGAAUUCAUGGUGGCUGCUCCUCAGCGAUUAUCUCGCAAAAGCAAAGAGAAAAAGGAUGGGUCAAAACUCGUUUUAGACAAUGAAAAGGAAAGAAGAAAAGUUGCCAAAUUAAAACAAUGGUUUCUUUACUUUUUUUUUUUCUUCAAACAGAAUUUCGAAAAUCAAAUAACAAAAAAGAAAAUCUUUAAUUUCUUUUUUUUUAUUGAAAAAAAUACAAAAUAAGAAAUGAAACGAAUCAAUAGGACAAUUUUUUAAUUUUUAUUAUUAUAUAUAUAUUUUUUAAAAAACUAAAAAAAUUCGAAAAUUUAAAUAACAGAAAAGAAAUUUUAAUUUUUGUUCAAUAACAAAAGGAAAUCAAGAAAGAAUUUUUUUUUUUUUUUAAUAAAAAUUCAAACAACAAGGAGUAAACUAACAAAUGAAAGAUUGCUGAAUUAAAAACUUUUUAUGGGGUUUUCUGAGAUUAAAAUCGACAAAGACCUUUUUAUGGCUUUUAGAUUUAUCAAAACAGUAGCAAAACAAAUCGAACAACUUUUCUUUAUAAUAUUUUUUUUAAUAAUGAAUCAAAAUAAUGGAAACAGAACUGAAAACAAAAACACUUUUUUUUGGUGGAUUUUUUGAUUUAUGAUGAAACAAAGACUGAAAUGAAAUAACAGAAAGCAAAAGACAAAGAACAAAAGCACAUUGAUAGGAACUUGUGCUCUGAUACCAAAUGAUAUAAGAUUGGAAUCACACCAAGUCUUAUAAUUCACAAGGUUGUCAAAGACAACAAGCUUUGUUGGCGGAAGGUGGAAUAGAUGGUAGAGAUGGCGCGAUGAUAGGAUGAUUGACUCACUCAAUCUGUUGAUGAUAGACUCUCUCUAUCAAGUGAUCGAACAAACUACUUGAAUCACACAAAUAGUUUAAUCCAAGAAUUCUAAUGAACAAUGUGAAUCACACACAAUAUUCAAAAGAAACAACUCUUGCAAAGAACUCUCUUUGAAGAAAAACGAAAAUGCUUUAUUACUUUAAGAUUGAAUGGUGAUUUGUACAAAUGAUAUAAUGAGCUUUAUAUAGAGCUCUUACAACGUUCUAAAGUCUAAAAAGAAGAAAAGAAAUCUUAGCAAUAAGAGAAUAUAGCCGUUGGAGCUAUUAUGGCGAGAAUCGGCCAAAAUAGAGGAAGUGAUGUAUCCUUUGUAUCUGGACGGUUUGAGGGGAUAUAUAAGCUUCUCUGGCACAUUAGUUUCUUCAUAAAACACGUCCAAGUCGUAGCAUUCAAGAGAAAAGAGCCGUUGGUGAGAUAUUCCUCCAAGUGUGAAUGCUUCCGGAAAAAGAAAGUGUACAAAUAUGAGGAUCCGCCUGAUCCUGUGGUUUCUGGAGCAUGGUAAGACAUUUGUAGACUCCUAUACAUGUAUAAGAAACUCUCCUGGUCGCCAAAAUCCGGUUUGUAAGAGAUUGAACCGGUCAGUCUUCAUACUUUCCUUAAACGGCUCCGGUUGGCUUAAUUGAGAACUCAAUUGGAUCCGCCUGAUCCAAUGCAUGUUGGUGCACCUUAGGAUGUUGUAGAAAGCUUCUAGAAGUAACUCAGAGUCUCCUGGGCGCCACUGAUAUGUUUGAAGCCUCCAAAACCCGAAAGGUUCCAAAUAAAGCAAGCCAGAAAUCUUCUGGUUUAGAAAUUGAAUAACUUUCCAACCAAAACCGGUCUCGGUAUGAUUACAGUUCUCCUGGAUUCUCUGAUGAAUGAAGAAUCCAAAACAAGCCGGUUCAUAGCUUGAUUCGUCCUUGUUUGGUCGGAAUCCUUUGAUCAAGGCGCAAAUGUCCAAAUCGGGUUUGUUGGAGAUAACCCGGUUUGUAAGCUGAAUAAUUCUUAUGUCUGAACUCCAAUUGGAC
RNAcentral lists this long non-coding RNA (5555 nucleotides) under Eutrema salsugineum. RNAcentral describes it as "long non-coding RNA (ESAL_LNC000413)". The record is from RNAcentral. Lineage: Eukaryota; Viridiplantae; Streptophyta; Magnoliopsida; Brassicales; Brassicaceae.